Molecule: long non-coding RNA, 448 nt
Filed under: Anas platyrhynchos platyrhynchos (common mallard)
Lineage: Eukaryota; Metazoa; Chordata; Aves; Anseriformes; Anatidae
Description: lncRNA (ENSAPLG00000028174.1)
Source: RNAcentral
GGCAUAUGGUCUAAAAUCACGAUGCAGGUGGGGUGAUAUAUAUAGUGCAUCUGGGACAGAUAAGAAAAAGAUAAUGCUAAUUCCUGAGGAUGGGGUAGCAACAGAAGGAAUGGAGAAGCUCCACUAUGAAGUGAUUAUAGAGGCUAUAUGUAAAGAUUUCUCUUGUGACUGCUUUUGAGGAAAAAUAAAGAAGAAAUAAGGAAUAGCAAUAGUAAAAGCAAGUCAUCUCUAAAGUACAGAGGCCAAUCUUCUCCGUCACUCGGGGCAGCUGUCCCUACCCAUGCACACCCAUGUGAGGGCCAUCUGUGGGCUGGCCUGAAGCCACUUGUCCUGCUGGAAGAUACGUUCCCAUCUCCUUGAACAUACAGCAACUGCUUUAAAAUAAGAGCCUUCCAUUUGCUUGCUUCAAAGGAGCAAUUUCUUGGCUGCCUCGUUUCUAACCCUGUUG